UGCGUCGAACGGGACUACCUGAGAUUACAUCAACUGGUAGUUUAGUGGCAAACGGGUGAAUAACACAUGGGUGAUCUACCUUCGAGUGGAGAAUAACCCCGAGAAAUCGGGGCUAAUGCUCCAUAAGAUCACGAUUCUUCCUAAAAAGAAUUGGGAUCAAAGUUCCGCAAGGGACGCUUGAAGAUGAGCCCGUGGCCUAUCAGCUAGUUGGUGAGGUAAUGGCUCACCAAGGCUAAGACGGGUAGCCGGCCUGAAAGGGCGAUCGGCCACACUGGAACUGAGACACGGUCCAGACUCCUACGGGAGGCAGCAGUGGGGAAUUUUGGACAAUGGGGGCAACCCUGAUCCAGCAACGCCGCGUGAGGGAUGAAGGUCUUCGGAUUGUAAACCUCUUUUACAGGGGACGAAAGGUUGCGUGAAUAACGCAAAGUGACGGUACUCUGUGAAUAAGCCACGGCUAACUUCGUGCCAGCAGCCGCGGUAAUACGAAGGUGGCAAGCGUUAUUCGGAAUUACUAGGCGUAAAGCGCAGGUAGGUGGUUGGAUAAGUCUGUAAUGAAAUCUCCCGGCUUAACUGGGAGGGGUUUAUGGAAACUGUCCGACUCGAGUGUGGGAGAGGUAACUGGAAUUCCCGGUGUAGCGGUGAAAUGCGUAGAUAUCGGGAGGAACACCCAUGGCGAAAGCAGGUUACUGGCCCAAUACUGACACUGAGCUGCGAAAGCUAGGGGAGCAAACAGGAUUAGAUACCCUGGUAGUCCUAGCCAUAAACGAUGUAGACCAGAUGUGGGGGGUAUCGACCCCCUCCGCGUCGACGCUAACGCAUUAGUCUACCGCCUGGGGAGUACGGCCGCAGGUUGAACUCAAAGGAAUUGACGGGGA
RNAcentral lists this ribosomal RNA (878 nucleotides) under uncultured bacterium. Its description in RNAcentral is "bacterial SSU rRNA". It matches the Rfam family "Bacterial small subunit ribosomal RNA", at positions 56 to 919 of the family's 1533-position model. The record is from RNAcentral.